This 251-nucleotide ribosomal RNA is filed under the name uncultured prokaryote. Its description in RNAcentral is "partial 16S ribosomal RNA". It matches the Rfam family "Bacterial small subunit ribosomal RNA", at positions 525 to 775 of the family's 1533-position model. The record is from RNAcentral.
ACGUCUUUUUCAAGCGUUGUCCGGAUUUACUGGGUGUAAAGGGCGCGCAGGCGGAGUGGUAAGUCAGUGGUGAAAUCCUACAGCUUAACUGUAGAACUGCCUUUGAUACUUUCAUUCUUGAGUUCGGGAGAGAGAGACGGAAUUCCAGGUGUAGUGGUGAAAUACGUAGAUAUCUGGAGGAACACCAGUUGCGAAGGCGGUCUCUUGGUCCGAUACUGACGCUGAGGCGCGAAAGCGUGGGGAGCAAACAG